RNAcentral lists this ribosomal RNA (247 nucleotides) under uncultured bacterium. RNAcentral's name for it is "partial 16S ribosomal RNA". It matches the Rfam family "Bacterial small subunit ribosomal RNA", at positions 526 to 779 of the family's 1533-position model. The record is from RNAcentral.
CGUAGGUGCAAGCGUUAAUCGGAAUUACUGGCGUAAGCGUGCGCAGGCGGUUAUACAAGACAGGCGUGAAAUCCCGGGCUUAACCUGGGAAUGGCGCCUGUGACUGUAUAGCUAGAGUGUGUCAGAGGGGUAGAAUUCCACGUGUAGCAGUGAAAUGCGUAGAUAUGUGGAGGAAUACCAAUGGCGAAGGCAGCCCCCUGGGAUAACACUGACGCUCAUGCACGAAAGCGUGGGAGCAAACAGGAUU